Long non-coding RNA from Daphnia magna, 1099 nucleotides. RefSeq lists it as uncharacterized. The record is from RefSeq and is a predicted model, not a curated record. Lineage: Eukaryota; Metazoa; Arthropoda; Branchiopoda; Diplostraca; Daphniidae. The transcript is spliced from 3 exons.
GGAGAAAGAGCCACUGGAAAGGGGGGCGGAGCAUCCGGUUGACGCAUGCGCAAUUGCCAAUUUUCGAUCGGUAUAAUUUAAUUGUAGUUUUUAAAAUUUUAUUUAGACAUUGUAAAAUGAAAAUCCAAUUGUUUGAUCUGCCUAAUAUUCUUUAUUUAAUGUGUUCCUAAUUUAGAUGUAUUUUUAGUGGACUUUGAUUCAAUUAAUUUGCUAAUUCAUUAACCCGUUGCCAAGUGUAUUAUCAAAAAUCGACGAAUUUCAACACGUGUAGCCCUUAGGGUUGGCAACCCUUUCCGAAGAGGAAGGGUUAGAAACAGAAAAACCGCCAACGUCGUGCGAUUCCAUUGUGAAGAGAACACAAUGUUUGCUUAAUCUUCUUCAGAGAAUAAGGUGCGUCAACCUUAUGCCAUACAUUAAAUAGCAACAGUUUUCAGAGAAAUUUAAGGAGGUAGGGUAAGAAAAAACUUAAAACUUAAAAAGAUUUCUUAGUAAAUAAUCUCACCAAACAGCAAAAACAAAACUACGACGAACGUUAUGUAAUCGAACUACAGUUUAAAAAACAAAGUGAAGUGCUGAGAAAAUCCUUAAUUUUUCUGGACACUGAUGUAAUUGCUUCUUUUCAAAAUGCAAUUAACGUUAUCAGCUUCAACUAUUCCAAGGAAUGAAAUACGUCCGAGGACAAAUAAACGGAUUUGACCAAGACGCCGCAUCAGCAGCUGCGAGUCGUCCAACAUUCUUGGCCACGCUAUUUAGAAAGGACACAGCGCGGUAUUCGCUUGUUACAUCCGGCCCACGUUCAAGUGGGUCCCUUUCCAUAUACGCACAAAGUCACCGUUCGUUUUCACAGAAACCAACUCUGAAAAGUUUGUCCUCGGAUGUAGGAGGUAUUUCUGGGAGCACCAAUAUUGCGAGAAGGCUCUUUCAUUCAAGUAUCGAUUCAUUUCCUUCAUAUAUAGAAGGCCAACUUUAAGUUACAUGCCCUUAACAUAGUUUUAUGACUAGUCGACGACGACUGAUUGAUGCAAUUCAUUUCCACAUGUUGUGUGCACCGCUUUAGAGAUUCAUAAUUUCGUGAAAAAUAAAAAUAAAUACGUGAUUA